GGUCUUGUGGUCUAGUGGUAUGAUUCUCGCUUAGGGUUCAACCCAAGCACUGCUUGCGAGAGGCCCCGCGUUCGAGUCGCGGCAAGACCC
RNAcentral lists this transfer RNA (90 nucleotides) under Ampelomyces quisqualis. RNAcentral's name for it is "tRNA-Pro". The record is from RNAcentral. Lineage: Eukaryota; Fungi; Ascomycota; Dothideomycetes; Pleosporales; Phaeosphaeriaceae.